RNAcentral lists this ribosomal RNA (217 nucleotides) under Paenibacillus sp. RNAcentral describes it as "partial 16S ribosomal RNA". It matches the Rfam family "Bacterial small subunit ribosomal RNA", at positions 1129 to 1345 of the family's 1533-position model. The record is from RNAcentral. Lineage: Bacteria; Bacillati; Bacillota; Bacilli; Caryophanales; Paenibacillaceae.
GGGUGGGCACUCUAGAAUGACUGCCGGUGACAAACCGGAGGAAGGCGGGGAUGACGUCAAAUCAUCAUGCCCCUUAUGACCUGGGCUACACACGUACUACAAUGGCCGGUACAACGGGCAGCGAAGGAGCGAUCCGGAGCGAAUCCUAAAAAGCCGGUCUCAGUUCGGAUUGGAGGCUGCAACUCGCCUCCAUGAAGUCGGAAUUGCUAGUAAUCGC